This 537-nucleotide ribosomal RNA is filed under the name Hymenoscyphus fraxineus. RNAcentral describes it as "eukaryotic LSU rRNA". The stretch from base 182 to 335 matches the Rfam family "5.8S ribosomal RNA". Lineage: Eukaryota; Fungi; Ascomycota; Leotiomycetes; Helotiales; Helotiaceae. The record is from RNAcentral.
GGGGGGUGCGGAAGGAUCAUUACAGAGUUCCUGCCCUCACGGGUAGAAACCCCACCCUUGUGUAUAUUAUAUUGUUGCUUUAGCAGGUCGCCCUCUGGGGCGUCGGCCUCGGCUGACUGUGCCUGCUAGAGGACCCUAAACUUUGAAAUACAGUGUCGUCUGAGUACUAUUUAAUAGUUAAAACUUUCAACAACGGAUCUCUUGGUUCUGGCAUCGAUGAAGAACGCAGCGAAAUGCGAUAAGUAAUGUGAAUUGCAGAAUUCAGUGAAUCAUCRAAUCUUUGAACGCACAUUGCGCCCCUUGGUAUUCCGGGGGGCAUGCCUGUUCGAGCGUCAUUUAGACCAACUCCCGCUCCGGCGGGGUCUUGGGCUGCGCCUUUGGGCGGGCCUUAAAACCAGUGGCGGUGCCCUAAGGCUCUACGCGUAGUAAUUCUUCUCGCGAUAGGGUCCUUGCGGUGUCUUGCCAGCAACCCCCAACUCUCUAGGGUUGACCUCGGAUCAGGUAGGGAUACCCGCUGAACUUAAGCAUAUCAAGCCG